AUACGGAGGGGGUUAGCGUUGUUCGGAAUUACUGGGCGUAAAGCGCACGUAGGCGGAUUGGAAAGUUGGGGGUGAAAUCCCAGGGCUCAACCCUGGAACUGCCUCCAAAACUAACAGUCUAGAGUUCUAGAGAGGUGAGUGGAAUUCCAAGUGUAGAGGUGAAAUUCGUAGAUAUGUGGAGGAACACCAGUGGCGAAGGCGGCUCACUGGCUCGAUACUGACGCUGAAGUGCGAAAGCGUGGGGAGCAAACAGGAUUAGAAACCCGAGUAGUCC
RNAcentral lists this ribosomal RNA (274 nucleotides) under uncultured bacterium. RNAcentral describes it as "partial 16S ribosomal RNA". It matches the Rfam family "Bacterial small subunit ribosomal RNA", at positions 523 to 796 of the family's 1533-position model. The record is from RNAcentral.